RNAcentral lists this ribosomal RNA (485 nucleotides) under uncultured bacterium. RNAcentral's name for it is "bacterial SSU rRNA". It matches the Rfam family "Archaeal small subunit ribosomal RNA", at positions 383 to 870 of the family's 1478-position model. The record is from RNAcentral.
GAGUGCCGUCCGCUGAGGGCGGCUUUUCCCCGGUGUAAGGAGCCGGGGGAAUAAGGAGAGGGCAAGUCUGGUGUCAGCCGCCGCGGUAAUACCAGCUCUCCGAGUGGUAGGGAUGAUUAUUGGGCUUAAAGCGUCCGUAGCCGGCCCGGCAAGUCUUCCGUUAAAUCCAACGAUUCAAUCGUUGGACUGCAGGAGAUACUGUUGGGCUAGGGGGCGGGAGAGGCCGACGGUAUUCUCGGGGUAGGGGUAAAAUCCUAUAAUCCCGGGAGGACCACCAGUGGCGAAGGCGGUCGGCUAGAACGCGCUCGACGGUGAGGGACGAAAGCUGGGGGAGCGAACCGGAUUAGAUACCCGGGUAGUCCCAGCUGUAAACGAUGCGGGCUAGGUGUUGGGGCGGCUACGGGCCGCUUCAGUGCCGCAGGGAAACCAUUAAGCCCGCCGCCUGGGGAGUACGGCCGCAAGGCUGAAACUUAAAGGAAUUGGCG